GGAAACCCUGGUUUCUGACGAAAAAGAGGGCGCCCGUAAGGGGCUCUCACCACGAGAUGAGUCCGCGGCCCAUCAGCUAGUUGGCGGUGUAAUAGACCACCAAGGCUAAGACGGGUAGCUGGUCUGAGAGGAUGACCAGCCACACUGGGACUGAGACACGGCCCAGACUCCUACGGGAGGCAGCAGUGGGGAAUAUUGGACAAUGGGCGAAAAGCCUGAUCCAGCCAUGCCGCGUGAGUGAUGAAGGUCUUCGGAUCGUAAAGCUCUGUGGGAAGGGACGAAAAAGCCUAACCUAAUACGUUAGGUCUUGACGGUACCUUCUUAGCAAGCACCGGCUAACUCCGUGCCAGCAGCCGCGGUAAUACGGAGGGUGCAAACGUUGCUCGGAAUUAUUGGGCGUAAAAGCGCACGUAGGCGGUCCGCUAAGUCGGAUGUGAAAGCCCUCGGCUUAACCGAGGAAGUGCAUCCGAAACUGACGGGCUAGAGUACGGAAGAGGGUUUCGGAAUUCCCGGUGUAGAGGUGAAAUUCGUAGAUAUCGGGA
This 542-nucleotide ribosomal RNA is filed under the name uncultured bacterium. RNAcentral's name for it is "bacterial SSU rRNA". It matches the Rfam family "Bacterial small subunit ribosomal RNA", at positions 152 to 702 of the family's 1533-position model. The record is from RNAcentral.